Molecule: ribosomal RNA, 305 nt
Filed under: uncultured bacterium
Lineage: Bacteria
Description: bacterial SSU rRNA
Rfam family: Bacterial small subunit ribosomal RNA
Source: RNAcentral
UAUAUCCUACGGGGCGCAGCAGUGAGGAAUAUUGGUCAAUGGGCGCGAGCCUGAACCAGCCAAGUCGCGUGAGGGAAGACGGUCCUAUGGAUUGUAAACCUCUUUUGUCGGGGAGCAAAAGACGCCACGCGUGGCGUUCCGAGAGUACCCGAAGAAAAAGCAUCGGCUAACUACGUGCCAGCAGCCGCGGUAAUACGUAGGGAGCAAGCGUUGUCCGGAAUUACUGGGCGUAAAGGGCGCGUAGGUGGGUGCUUAAGUCAGGUGUGAAAACUCUGGGCUCAACCUGGAGACUGCACUUGAAACUG